AUACAUGCAGUCGAGCGGACGGAUGGGAGCUUGCUCCCUGAAGUCAGCGGCGGACGGGUGAGUAACACGUGGGCAACCUGCCUGUAAGACUGGGAUAACUUCGGGAAACCGGAGCUAAUACCGGAUAAUGCACAGCCUCUCAUGAGGCUAUGCUGAAAGAUGGUUUCGGCUAUCACUUACAGAUGGGCCCGCGGCGCAUUAGCUAGUUGGUGAGGUAACGGCUCACCAAGGCAACGAUGCGUAGCCGACCUGAGAGGGUGAUCGGCCACACUGGGACUGAGACACGGCCCAGACUCCUACGGGAGGCAGCAGUAGGGAAUCUUCCGCAAUGGACGAAAGUCUGACGGAGCAACGCCGCGUGAGUGAUGAAGGUUUUCGGAUCGUAAAACUCUGUUGUCAGGGAAGAACAAGUGCCGGAGUAACUGCCGGCACCUUGACGGUACCUGACCAGAAAGCCACGGCUAACUACGUGCCAGCAGCCGCGGUAAUACGU
Molecule: ribosomal RNA, 493 nt
Filed under: Bacillus mesophilum
Lineage: Bacteria; Bacillati; Bacillota; Bacilli; Caryophanales; Bacillaceae
Also listed under: 1 other name
Description: bacterial SSU rRNA
Rfam family: Bacterial small subunit ribosomal RNA
Source: RNAcentral